This is a non-coding RNA of Cinara cedri, 472 nucleotides long. The record is from the annotation of a GenBank genome assembly. NCBI's taxonomy places the organism in Eukaryota, Metazoa, Arthropoda, Insecta, Hemiptera, Aphididae.
AUAUAACGUAUGUACUUAAAACGAAAUAAUACUCCAAAAAUGCAUCGAUGUGCGCUUAGAUUGUUAACAAAUAUAAAGCUAAAAUGCGAAAAAAAAUUGUUUUUCGGUGAUUUCCAAUAUAGUAAAGCUGCAAUCCUUGUGUGACCUGUCCCCUGGUGAACGUUCCCGAACAUGAUUUCCCACGACGACUGCACAGGCCUGUCACUCCUCAUCCUUUUUACUACCGCCAACGAUGCGCCGCAUUAAUUAUCCAUCUCUUCUGCUCGUUAAUUAUGAAUUAACGUUUCGUUGUGCCAUUAUACACCUACCGAUUGCAUGCUUUUGACCGUUUGACCCGUGCCAUAUAAAACAUUAUUAUUAUUAUUAUUAUUAUUAUUACUAUUAUUAUUAUUUAUCAUAUUGUUAUGUGCUACUGUUAUAGGAUCGACCCUGGGCAUCUAAGCAUUGCCCCGACGGACUGUGAUUAUCAGUG